UUGCUAUAAUUGGUCCUGGCGAUGGCAAUCGAAUUUUCUAAGAAUAUUCACUCCGAUGCAUCGCUCAUUUUUCUCUCUCUUUCAAUCCACAAAACCCUAGCCAGAUUUCAUGUCUUCAGUCUUCGUCUCUGAGGUAGCAUAUCCGAGUUCAAAUAUUUUGACUGCUAUUUUAUCAAUUUAAUGUACUAGAUGGCAACGGACUAUUAGCUGCUGCUUCAGAAAAAACAGAUAAAAGAAUCUGCCUCCUGAUAAGAGAGAAGCAACAGAGAAUGGACCAUAUUACCUCAUUGCCAUAUGAAUUUGAUAUCUGUCAGCUUUAUUCCAUUCCAAAUGCUUCGAUGUCCAGAAAAGAUCCACAGAUCAUGAGCGGUGUACCCACAAUAACAACAAUGUUAUCAGAACUCUCAAUAUUGUAUUUGCUAUCGAGGAAUUUAGCUUGGAAUGUCACCUCGUUAAUGACAUA
Zingiber officinale is the source of this 463-nucleotide long non-coding RNA. RefSeq lists it as uncharacterized. NCBI's taxonomy places the organism in Eukaryota, Viridiplantae, Streptophyta, Magnoliopsida, Zingiberales, Zingiberaceae. The record is from RefSeq and is a predicted model, not a curated record. The transcript has 2 exons.